AGAGUGUGCCAACAGCUUAGAUAUAGAGUGUGAGAGAGAAGAGUGGAGGCUGGUUCUCAGGCUCCAGAAGCAUAAGCCUGCAUGGAGCAUAGCGUCACUGAGCAAGACAGGUGUGGAGGAUGAGAAGCGGGCCACAGGAUGGGAAGGGAAUCUGUGUGGAGGCGGUGCCCUAAACAUGCUGCCUUGAGGAGGGACCUCUACAUGGGGUGGCCGGGCACAGCCAGGCUACCCAUGGGGACCUCAACAGCUUUGCCAUUGCACACUAUCUUUGCAGACAAGAUCUUAAUCACAUCCAACUUUCUGCAGUUGCACAGGGUACCUCAGACCCACAUCCCAGAUGACAUUCCUCAGAAGCUCGCAGCUGGAGAUGACAUCACCUUAGACAACAUCACCCUAGCCCAAGACAUCGCUAUUAGAGAUACAUCACCUGGACACUAAAGCCUCCAACCCAGUGACACUCUCAAGGUGCUGACAAAAUGGACAUGGACAUUUGUUGCUUUUCUUCUUUUGAAUUAGGAACUCUAUUGUGUUUCCUGAAUUUACUGUCUGCUUGGCCCAUGAUCCUGGUAUGUUCCUUGCUCUCUGCCAAAACAUGCACCGUCCCCUCCACACCUAAAGGAAAACCUGGUAGAAGCUACUACUCUCAAUGCCAUUCU
Molecule: long non-coding RNA, 656 nt
Filed under: Homo sapiens (human)
Lineage: Eukaryota; Metazoa; Chordata; Mammalia; Primates; Hominidae
Description: non-protein coding lnc-PPP1R3G-9:4
Source: RNAcentral